AUCCAAAUCAUCAUGGCGUAAACUAUUUGGAUGAGGAUGUGUCUGCAGAAAGCAUUUCUAAAGAGCAACUACCAACAGAAAAAUACUAGCAUUAUAUUAGGCUCAGAUAUGCGUCUGAUCGUUCUAUGAGGUGCUUAAAUCAUUUUCUUUUGCAGCUGGUUCCUCCUGAAGUUUCUUCUUCCAAUAUUCAUCAAGUGGUUGUGCAAAUAUAGCUUUCCCAGAUACAACGCCAAUUAUAACUGCGCCAAUUACCAGCGGAAACGACAAAAAUCUUCUCCUGAACAUCUUCCCUUUAUCUUCUCCUAAUCUUCUCUCUCUCUCAGUCCAGUAGUUUCCGUCUUGAG
Molecule: unclassified non-coding RNA, 344 nt
Filed under: Hevea brasiliensis (rubber tree)
Lineage: Eukaryota; Viridiplantae; Streptophyta; Magnoliopsida; Malpighiales; Euphorbiaceae
Source: RNAcentral